CUCCAGGGUAUCUACUACAGUAGCAUCUAUUCACAGGCUGUGGGGGUGUAAUGGUGUGUGUGUGUGUGUGUGUUGGGAUCAAACUCCUAGUCCUAGAAGUGCACUGAUUAAAUGUACAAAGGACUUCAUGUGGCUAUGGCACCAGGACACCUCCUGCACUCAGGGGCAUCUGAGGUGCUUAUAGAUUCUGUCAGUUGCAUGUGAAGAAAAGUUGUUUUUCACUAGACAUGGUGGUGCACACCUGUAAUCCCAGUGGCUUGGGAGGCCGAGGCAGGAGGAACUUGAGUUCAAAGCCAGCCUCAGCAAAGGUGAGGGACUAACCAACUCCGUGAGACCUGUCUCUAAAUAAAAUACAAAAUAGGGCUGAGGAUGUGGCUCAGUGACUGAGUGCCCCUAAGUUCAAUCCCCAGUACAAAAAAAAAAGUUGUUUUUCCUUUUUUCAGGUUUGGAGUCAUUGUGAGUGUGUGUGUGUGUGUGUUUUUUUUUUUUUUGUGUGUGUGUGUAUGUUGCAAUCACUUAAGGGAAAUUGGUUCUUCCAACCAGUGAUUGUUUGAAUUUCCUGGAUCUAUGAAAUGACAGAAAAACUCAGCAUUUAAUGAAGAAUGGUGUUGCCUAAGUUGUGUGUGUGUGUGUGUGUGUAUUUUCCUUAGUCAUGAUCUUUCUAAGUUUCCCAUGUUGGCUUUGAACUGGUGAUCCUCCUGCCUAAGCUUUCCACAGCUGGGAUUACAAGUGUGGGCCACCAUACCUAGUUCCCUAAAUGUUCUAAGUGCUCCAUUAUAUUUAUUUAUUUAAUUUAAGCUGCAAAAUAGCCCUAUGAUCAUUCCCAUUUUAUAGAUAGAAAACCAAGGAACUAAGCCUUGAAUGACCUGCCCAAUGUACUACAUUUAAGGGAAUAUUGGAUUUAGGACCUGAUAGUAAUCAAGGCCCCAGAGUCUAUACUCUUAGGCAAUAUGGAUUUUCCAAAUAAUCAUUGCAGGCAUUAUGCCAAUUUUUUUUUUAAAGUGGAGUGUGACUAC
RNAcentral lists this long non-coding RNA (1016 nucleotides) under Marmota monax (woodchuck). Lineage: Eukaryota; Metazoa; Chordata; Mammalia; Rodentia; Sciuridae. The record is from RNAcentral.